This 638-nucleotide long non-coding RNA is filed under the name Medicago truncatula (barrel medic). Its description in RNAcentral is "lncRNA gene1050". The record is from RNAcentral. Lineage: Eukaryota; Viridiplantae; Streptophyta; Magnoliopsida; Fabales; Fabaceae.
GUUUUUUGUUGUUAUUAAAAUUCAUAGCAUAUAAUUGUUUAAAAAAAAAAAAAGAUUCAUAGCAUAUAAUGGAUUGUAGAACAUUUGAAACUUGAGUUUCGCUUAUGAAUCGCUCAAAUUUUACUCAUUUGUUUAACUCAUUAAUAAAUUAAGGACACAUGCAAAACAUCUUCUCUAGCUGGUACGUCGGAUCAUUGCGCGAGUUCAAAUUUUGGUACCGGACUUCAAGUGUCUCGUCAAGCUUGUUGAAGAGUCCGCAUCGAUUGAGAGAUGAUAUGAAUAAAUGUUUGUAAGUGGGAACAAUCAUCAUAUCUUACAAAUCGAUUUUGAAGGGUUGUGUUAGGUUCAACCACGAUUCUAAAAAAGCUAACUCCAAUAUAUCGGUCCGAGCUAUAUGAUGAUCUAUGAAAUUUGUUGGUUAAUUACUAAUUAGCUAUUUGUCUUAGAUAUGAUUAAAGAUUUUUUAGAUACCGUUGUUCACUUCUUCUCCACCAAGCACGGAAGUUUAAGGAUAAUUGUAGGUCUUUUGUUAAAUGUAGUUACAAUAAUCUUAGAUAUGCCAUGAAUCAAUGUUUACAAGUAAGGACAAUCAUCAUCUUACUAGUCUGAUUUAUAAGUGAGAACAAUUAUUAUUUUAC